Molecule: ribosomal RNA, 460 nt
Filed under: uncultured bacterium
Lineage: Bacteria
Description: partial 16S ribosomal RNA
Rfam family: Bacterial small subunit ribosomal RNA
Source: RNAcentral
CCUACGGGGGGCAGCAGUGAGGAAUAUUGGUCAAUGGGCGCGAGCCUGAACCAGCCAAGUAGCGUGAAGGAUGACUGCCCUACGGGUUGUAAACUUCUUUUAUAAAGGAAUAAAGUGAGUCACGUGUGCCUCUUUGUAUGUAUUUUAUGAAUAAGGAUCGGCUAACUCCGUGCCAGCAGCCGCGGUAAUACGGAGGGUCCGAGCGUUAUCCGGAUUUAUUGGGUUUAAAGGGAGCGUAGGUGGGUUGUUAAGUCAGUUGUGAAAGUUUGGGGCUCAACCGUGAAAUUGCAAUUGAUACUGGCAGGCUUGAGUACAGUUGAGGUAGGCGGAAUUCGUGGUGUAGCGGUGAAAUGCUUAGAUAUCACGAAGAACUCCGAUUGCGAAGGCAGCCUACUAGACUGCCACUGACGUUGAUGCUCGAAAGUGUGGGUAUCAAACAGGAUUAGAUACCCUUGUAGUC